UGGUUCUGGCAUCGAUGAAGAACGCAGCGAAAUGCGAUAAGUAAUGUGAAUUGCAGAAUUCAGUGAAUCAUCGAAUCUUUGAACGCACAUUGCGCCCGCCAGUAUUCUGGCGGGCAUGCCUGUUCGAGCGUCAUUUCAACCCCUCAAGCCCGGCUUGGUGUUGGGGCCCUACGUGCGCCGUAGGCCCCGAAUCCCAGUGGCGGGCUCGCCGCGAUCCCGAGCGUAGUAGUGCUACCUCGCUCAGGGCGCGCGGCGGGCGCCGGCCGUGAAACACACAACACUGUACCAAAAAGGUUGACCUCGGAUCAGGUAGGAAUACCCGCUGA
RNAcentral lists this unclassified non-coding RNA (326 nucleotides) under uncultured fungus. Its description in RNAcentral is "partial contains 5.8S ribosomal RNA and internal transcribed spacer 2". The stretch from base 1 to 133 matches the Rfam family "5.8S ribosomal RNA", at positions 22 to 154 of the family's 154-position model. Lineage: Eukaryota; Fungi. The record is from RNAcentral.